CCUACGGGGGGCUGCAGUGAGGAAUAUUGGUCAAUGGACGAGAGUCUGAACCAGCCAAGUAGCGUGAAGGAUGACUGCCCUAUGGGUUGUAAACUUCUUUUAUAUGGGAAUAAAAUGUUCCACGUGUGGGAUUUUGUAUGUACCAUAUGAAUAAGGAUCGGCUAACUCCGUGCCAGCAGCCGCGGUAAUACGGAGGAUCCGAGCGUUAUCCGGAUUUAUUGGGUUUAAAGGGAGCGUAGGUGGUUGGUUAAGUCAGUUGUGAAAGUUUGCGGCUCAACCGUAAAAUUGCAGUUGAAACUGGCAGUCUUGAGUACAGUAGAGGUAGGCGGAAUUCGUGGUGUAGCGGUGAAAUGCUUAGAUAUCACGAAGAACUCCGAUGGCGAAGGCAGUUCACUGGACUGCAACUGACACUGAGGCUCGAAAGUGUGGGUAUCAAACAGGAUUAGAUACCCUUGUAGUC
This 460-nucleotide ribosomal RNA is filed under the name uncultured bacterium. Its description in RNAcentral is "partial 16S ribosomal RNA". It matches the Rfam family "Bacterial small subunit ribosomal RNA", at positions 338 to 795 of the family's 1533-position model. The record is from RNAcentral.